This 73-nucleotide transfer RNA is filed under the name Propionibacterium sp. RNAcentral's name for it is "tRNA-Thr". It matches the Rfam family "tRNA". From Rfam's summary of the family: Transfer RNA (tRNA) molecules are approximately 80 nucleotides in length. Their secondary structure includes four short double-helical elements and three loops (D, anti-codon, and T loops). Lineage: Bacteria; Bacillati; Actinomycetota; Actinomycetes; Propionibacteriales; Propionibacteriaceae. The record is from RNAcentral.
GCCUCCUUAGCUCAGUGGCCAGAGCACCUGUCUUGUAAACAGGCGGUCGAGGGUUCGACUCCCUCAGGGGGCU